Molecule: long non-coding RNA, 310 nt
Filed under: Panax ginseng (ginseng)
Lineage: Eukaryota; Viridiplantae; Streptophyta; Magnoliopsida; Apiales; Araliaceae
Description: long non-coding RNA (PGIN_LNC013860)
Source: RNAcentral
UUUUAUCCAUCGCACUUUUCAGCGUGAAUACCGAUGCUUCCCGAGGCUUAGAUACCCAGUUAUUUCGCACAAUAGACAUUGAAGCAUAUUUUUUUUAUUUUUAUUUUUUUUCAUUCAUCAUUAUUUCACAUGGUUCUGUAACAACAUAAGCAAGUUAAACAGUUCUUAAGUCGUGAAAUCAGUGUACAUAGACAACUCCACAAAUAACUUAGCCAAAUAAACAUGCUUCUCAUAUUCAAGUACUCAUGUAUCACAAAUUCAAUUCAAAUCAAUUACUAUGGAUCAUGGCUUAGUUGUCAUCAUUCAUUAA